RNAcentral lists this ribosomal RNA (383 nucleotides) under Veillonella parvula. Its description in RNAcentral is "bacterial SSU rRNA". It matches the Rfam family "Bacterial small subunit ribosomal RNA", at positions 28 to 388 of the family's 1533-position model. Lineage: Bacteria; Bacillati; Bacillota; Negativicutes; Veillonellales; Veillonellaceae. The record is from RNAcentral.
GACGAACGCUGGCGGCGUGCUUAACACAUGCAAGUCGAACGAAGAGCGAUGGAAGCUUGCUUCUAUCAAUCUUAGUGGCGAACGGGUGAGUAACGCGUAAUCAACCUGCCCUUCAGAGGGGGACAACAGUUGGAAACGACUGCUAAUACCGCAUACGAUCUAACCUCGGCAUCGAGGAAAGAUGAAAGGUGGCCUCUAUUUAUAAGCUAUCACUGAAGGAGGGGAUUGCGUCUGAUUAGCCAGUUGGAGGGGUAACGGCCCACCAAGGCGAUGAUCAGUAGCCGGUCUGAGAGGAUGAACGGCCACAUUGGGACUGAGACACGGCCCAGACUCCUACGGGAGGCAGCAGUGGGGAAUCUUCCGCAAUGGACGAAAGUCUGACG